This 3523-nucleotide unclassified non-coding RNA is filed under the name Neodiprion pinetum (white pine sawfly). RNAcentral's name for it is "phosphatidylinositol 4-phosphate 5-kinase type-1 beta, transcript variant X1". Lineage: Eukaryota; Metazoa; Arthropoda; Insecta; Hymenoptera; Diprionidae. The record is from RNAcentral.
CGUACACCGCAGCAACACCUUCUUUUACCGAAAAACACUGUAAAUUAUACAAUUUACCGAGCAACGCGUCAGCCCACGCCCCCCUCCCCCCCGAAGCUGCAGGAAAUAUUACCCAGGGCUGACUGCCGAUGACAAGAUAUGGUUACUCGAUAAUGUUAUGAAUCACAGCUGGUCUCUGGAAUAUAGGCGGAGCUGCCGGGCGGAGGAGUGACUUGUAUAUAGUGAUAUCGGACGACAUGCUUGCGGCCUUUGGAUUUUAUCUGCGCAUAUUUGCAAGGCAAAGUCAAGCCGGAGGCGCAAUUACACCUGACAAGAAAUAGGGAAGAGUCGAAGUGCCGUGACGUAAGGUAAUCGCGGUUGCGGCCGACCUUCCCAGCUGAUUAAAAUUACGCUUGAAAUGGCGACGGGUCAAUAAUCGGAAAGCAAAGAAUUGGAAACGGAACGACGCCAAGGCCGAUGCCAACUUUUGUCGUCUACGAAGUGAAAUAAGCGCCAAGUGUUGAUCUUAUUCAAGAGAUCAGUCGAAACUGCGAUGAUGGGUUGUUCGAUCGCCGUGCGAUAAGAGCGUCGAAGUGCUUCCGGCUUUGAUUAAGGGAAGAAGCGCAAGCAAAACGAAAGGCAAGUUAACGGGACGACGAGAUGCGGAUCUACAGGGCGAAACUUGGGCGUUGAACGAAUAGAGCGGCCAGGAAGCGGCUGGUGCCCAGUGGGCUGUGCGAAGCCGAUUUGACACAAAAUGGCUUCUGGGGAUAAUGUGGAUGUGAUUGAGGUUGUUGAAUCGAGUUUCACAUCCCCGGAUUUGGAGAUGGUGGACCGGGUAGGACGCGGCUUCGCCAUGGAAGAUGAAGAUAAGUCCACCGGGGAGAAAGUUACAGCCUUGGAAGUACCCACAACGCAUCAUGGCUCUGGUGGUCCCAAAACUUCGUCGGGUAUAUCCCGAAACAAAUCGGAAAGGGAAAGAAAAAUUGGCCAUCGGAGAGUCGGAGUGGGAGGUGAAAUCACAUAUAAAAAGAUUCAAACGACACAAAUCAUGGGAUCCAUUCAACUAGGGAUCCAGCACGCUGUUGGGGGUCUUGCUAGUAAACCAGAGCGAGAUCUUCUUAUGCAGGAUUUUAUGACAGUGGAAACGACCAACUUUCCCAGUGAAGGGUCCAAUCACACACCUGCUCAUCAUUUCUCCGAAUUCAAGUUCAAAAACUAUGCUCCUAUUGCCUUUCGGUACUUCAGAGACCUAUUUGGCAUUCAACCUGACGACUUUUUGAUGUCAAUGUGCAGCUCCCCACUCAGGGAGUUGUCUAAUCCUGGCGCAAGUGGUAGCAUAUUUUAUCUGACAGAAGAUGAUGAGUUUAUCAUCAAAACUGUUCAACACAAAGAAGGGGAAUUUUUGCAGAAGCUGCUACCUGGAUAUUACAUGAAUUUGAACCAGAAUCCUCGAACGUUACUUCCAAAAUUUUUUGGGCUGUAUUGUUACCAGUGCAAUAGUAAAAAUGUCAGAUUAAUCGCAAUGAAUAAUCUGCUUCCGUCGGCCGUCAAGCUACAUCAGAAAUACGAUUUGAAAGGUUCCACUUAUAAAAGAAAAGCUUCCAAAUCCGAAAGAUCCAAGUCAUCUCCUACGUAUAAAGAUUUGGAUUUUAUGGAGCAUCACGCCGAAGGUAUUUUCUUGGAAGCUGAUACUUAUGGGGCACUUGUUAAAACGAUACAGCGAGACUGUAGAGUAUUGGAGAGCUUUAAAAUUAUGGACUAUUCUCUCCUAGUUGGAAUUCAUAACUUGGAUCAAGCGGCUAGGGAAAAAGCAGAACAGAGGUUAUCGGCAAGUGCGGAUGAAGAAACCGGCGGAGCAAGUUCUGAGGCCGGUGCCCUUAUUCAAGCGGAAAAGGAGAGGGAAAGAGAAGACAGGAUUGGCGCGGCUGCGUUGAAUCGAUCUCGAAGUAUUAACAGGCAAAGAUUAGUAGCGCACAGUACUGCGAUGGAAAGUAUUCAGGCCGAGAGCGAACCUAUCGAUGAAGAAGAUGAUGUACCCAGUCCGGGUGGUAUACCAGCUAGAAAUGCAAGAGGCGAACGUCUCCUACUUUUUCUCGGCAUCAUUGACAUACUUCAGAGUUACAGACUGAAGAAAAAGCUUGAGCACACAUGGAAGUCCAUGAUUCAUGACGGGGAUACAGUUUCCGUGCAUAGACCUGGUUUCUACGCUCAGCGCUUUCAAGAUUUCAUGGCAAAAACUGUUUUCAAGAAGAUUCCGUCACUGGACCUGCCUGAGAUUAAGGGAAACCAUCGCAAGUUCCGUAACCUGGUCACCAGCUACAUAGCUCUGAAACAUUCCCCUUCGAAACGGAAAAGUAUUACGAGGCCACUGAGACCGUUGGAAGGAGACUUUGAUUCCACAGCAGCGUCUGGAAGUUCAGCAGUGCAUGCUUCAACGAACUCCAAGCCUGCAAGCCCCACCGAGUUGCCUGCCUCAUCCAUAGUCAUAUCUGCUGCACCCACAAUAUCCACAACGUCCAUUCCAAACGCGACAUCAACUCCGAUAAACUUGCCCACUGUUUGCAAACCCGUUACGCCUCCGUCUCUGCUCUUUGGCACGGCAGAUGAAACCAACCACCAUGAUAUAACAAGCUUUGGUACGUCAAGUUACCCAGCUGUUUUGAAGGGCAGACGCGGAGCCAGCCCUCCUAAUCCGAAUCUCGUUCCUUCCGGCAAAAUCCCUCCACCGGUACCUCCUAGGGGAUCUGUUUCGGGGAGAAGUCGAGUCGACGAUCAUCGGAGAGCGUCGGCGAAUAACGCGACCAUCUCCAGUCGAGGUGGUACCCUUCCCUCUACAUGCUCCACCCCACCUCCGCCAUUUGACGACGCUGUUACAUCGAACGACGCAACAUUAGCAUCGGGGGGUCACCAUUCCCAUCACGGAACAACGACGAUCCUCACUAGCAGCUUGAGUUCGUCGCAUACGAAGCAAAACAAAAUAGUGCAUCACGUUACUUUAACCAAAACCUAUCACGAUGCUGUUAGUAUAUCUGACGUGCAUUUAGAAAGCAGUGGUAGUGGCUGCGGCAGCGUCGGGCGUGAAACAAAGUCGUCCUUAAGCGUAGAAAGCGGGGGUAGCAGUCGUGGCGGUGGUGCGUUGACGUGGACACCACCUACUGGCAGUGUCGAAGGUUCUACUCCUACAUGGACUGAGGGGACGCCAUCCUUUACAGAGAGUUCGAGUAGCGGAGACAUGGGCUGUCCCACAACACCGAUUAGAAGUGGUAUGAGAGGGGAAGAGGAUAAUCGAAUUGUCGCUACAGUCGAGGAGGCAUUAGCUAGUUUGACAUCCGAAAUGACGAUGUUCGAAACUACAUGCCUGGAAUGUGAAUACUGUUAAUAAUUGCCGGCCGGAUAAUGUGUCCCAAGUGUCUGGAUGUCGUCGCCAAUAGAUUUAUAGAAAGUUUUUUUUCUCUUAUAUGUUCGACCACCAAAAUCAGUCAGCAAAAUUCCUCAGUCCGGAAAUAAAUGCGCAGCAGAGAGGACGUGCGAAAAUCGCGCU